RNAcentral lists this ribosomal RNA (466 nucleotides) under uncultured bacterium. RNAcentral describes it as "bacterial SSU rRNA". It matches the Rfam family "Bacterial small subunit ribosomal RNA", at positions 338 to 795 of the family's 1533-position model. The record is from RNAcentral.
CCUCCGGGGUGCACCAGUGGGGAAUAUUGGACAAUGGGCGCAAGCCUGAUCCAGCCAUACCGCGUGUGUGAAGAAGGCCUUUUGGUUGUAAAGCACUUUAAGCGAGGAGGAGGCUACUUGGAUUAAUACUCUAGGAUAGUGGACGUUACUCGCAGAAUAAGCACCGGCUAACUCUGUGCCAGCAGCCGCGGUAAUACAGAGGGUGCGAGCGUUAAUCGGAUUUACUGGGCGUAAAGCGUGCGUAGGCGGCUUUUUAAGUCGGAUGUGAAAUCCCUGAGCCUAACUUAGGAAUUGCAUUCGAUACUGGGAAGCUAGAGUAUGGGAGAGGAUGGUAGAAUUCCAGGUGUAGCGGUGAAAUGCGUAGAGAUCUGGAGGAAUACCGAUGGCGAAGGCAGCCAUCUGGCCUAAUACUGACGCUGAGGUACGAAAGCAUGGGGAGCAAACAGGAUUAGAUACCCUAGUAGUC